GGGGUACCGGUACAGAGUCAAUGUGGAGGCUAUAUACAGGGGUACUGGUACAGAGUCAAUGUGGAGGCUAUAUACAGGGUGUUACGGUACAGAGUCAAUGUGGAGGCUAUAUACAGGGGGUACUGGUACAGAGUCAAUGUGGAGGCAAUAUACAGGGUGUUACGGUACAGAGUCAAUGUGGAGGCUAUAUACAGGGGGUACUGGUACAGAGUCAAUGUGGAGGCAAUAUACAGGGGGUACUGGUACAGAGUCAAUGUGGAGGCUAUAUACAGGGUGUUACGGUACAGAGUCAAUGUGGAGGCUAUAUACAGGGGGUCACAGAGUCAAUGUGGAGGCUAUAUACAGGGUGUUACGGUACAGAGUCAAUGUGGAGGCUAUAUACAGGGGGUACUGGUACAGAGUCAAUGUGGAGGUUAUAUACAGGGGGUACCGGUACAGAGUCAAUGUGGAGACUAUAUACAGGGGGUACCGUACAGAGUCAAUGUGGAGGCUAUAUACAGGGGUACUGGUACAGAGUCAAUAGUGAGGCUAUAUACAGGGGGUACCGGUACAGAGUCAAUGUGGAGGCUAUAUACAGGGGGUACCGGUACAGAGUCAAUGUGGAGGUUAUAUACAGGGUGUUACGGUACAGAGUCAAUGUGGAGGCUAUAUACAGGGGGUACCGGUACAGAGUCAAUGUGGAGGCUAUAUACAGGGGUACCGGUACAGAGUCAAUGUGGAGGCUAUAUACAGGGGGUACCGGUACAGAGUCAAUGUGGAGACUAUAUACAGGGUGUACCGGUACAGAGUCAAUGUGGAGGCUAUAUACAGGGGGUACCGGUACAGAGUCAAUGUGGAGGCUAUAUACAGGGGUACCGAUACAGAGUCAAUGUGGAGACUAUAUACAGGGGGUACCGGUACAGAGUCAAUGUGGAGGCUAUAUACAGGGGGUACCGAUACAGAGUCAAUGUGGAGACUAUAUACAGGGGGUACCGGUACAGAGUCAAUGUGGAGGCUAUAUACAGGGG
This is a long non-coding RNA of Oncorhynchus tshawytscha (Chinook salmon), 1007 nucleotides long. NCBI's taxonomy places the organism in Eukaryota, Metazoa, Chordata, Actinopteri, Salmoniformes, Salmonidae. The record is from Ensembl.